RNAcentral lists this non-coding RNA (28 nucleotides) under Mus musculus (house mouse). Lineage: Eukaryota; Metazoa; Chordata; Mammalia; Rodentia; Muridae. The record is from RNAcentral.
UACAAGAUGCCGUGUUGUUGGUAAGUGG